This 424-nucleotide ribosomal RNA is filed under the name uncultured bacterium. Its description in RNAcentral is "partial 16S ribosomal RNA". It matches the Rfam family "Bacterial small subunit ribosomal RNA", at positions 360 to 776 of the family's 1533-position model. The record is from RNAcentral.
AAUUUUGGACAAUGGGGGAAACCCUGAUUCAGCCAUCCCGCGUGUAUGAUGAAGGCCUUCGGGUUGUAAAGUACUUUUGGCAGAGAAGGAAAGGUAUCCCCUAAUACGGGAUACUGCUGACGGUAUCUGCAGAAUAAGCACCGGCUAACUACGUGCCAGCAGCCGCGGUAAUACGAAGGGGGCUAGCGUUAAUCGGAAUUACUGGGCGUAAAACGGGUGUAAGCGGUUCCGAAAGAAAGAUGUGAAAUCCCAGGGCUCAACCUUGGAACUGCAUUUUUAACUGCCGAGCUAGAGGUAGUCAAAGGGGGGUAGAAUUCCACGUGUAGCAGUGAAAUGCGUAGAUAUGUGGAGGAAUACCGAUGGCGAAGGCAGCCCCCUGGGAUAAUACUGACGCUCAGACACGAAAGCGUGGGGAGCAAACAGG